GACAGGUAGUGCUGUGUAAGCUUCUGCAUUCUGUCACAACCCUAACCAAAAAGGGAGGACUCUAGCAAUGAAAGUGCCUGGCUCAGCAAGAGACCUGAAUGAAUAUGAACUAACCGAGAAUCAAACUUGAAAAGAUCAGACCAACAUUUACCGAACCUUUAAAAGAAAUUGGCUCAGAGUGCUCAGCAGCUAUGGCAGUAAGUGCUAGAGAAAUCAAUAAAUAACUAUCCGUUCCUCUUCUCUCCCACAUAUCCUACCAUUGGAUUCUACCAGUACCUCCAGGGACAAAAGUCCAAAUGGUGAUACUAGCCCUUUCAGAAGCUGACCCCAGUUAGAUUUAUGAGAAGGCAUCUGGGUUCUAGAAGAAUGAGACUGGCAGAUGAGAGACCAAGAGACUGAGAGGAGCCAGAGACAGGAAGCAGCUGGUGAGAGCUGGCAAGAGUGGCUUGGGAGAGAGCUACAGGAGACCCAGCAGAAAGAGCUGAGUCCUGAGGAGAGCUGGAACAGAACUGCUGUCUGUUCAGGAUAAACGCUGGAGAAUAAUGAUAUUCAGGAGGUCCAAGAGUGAAGCAUGAACUUCUAUUCCAGCUCCUGUCCCACCUCGCAUCCCAUCCCAGCUCAUCUCAUCUCAUCCUCCCUGACCCCAAGAAGCAAACGAGAG
This is a long non-coding RNA of Mauremys reevesii (Reeves's turtle), 661 nucleotides long. RefSeq lists it as uncharacterized. The transcript is spliced from 6 exons. NCBI's taxonomy places the organism in Eukaryota, Metazoa, Chordata, Testudines, Geoemydidae. The record is from RefSeq and is a predicted model, not a curated record.